Molecule: ribosomal RNA, 603 nt
Filed under: bacterium
Lineage: Bacteria
Description: bacterial SSU rRNA
Rfam family: Bacterial small subunit ribosomal RNA
Source: RNAcentral
UGCAGUCGAGCGGUAGAGAGGUGCUUGCACCUCUUGAGAGCGGCGGACGGGUGAGUAAUACCUAGGAAUCUGCCUGGUAGUGGGGGAUAACGUUCGGAAACGGACGCUAAUACCGCAUACGUCCUACGGGAGAAAGCAGGGGACCUUCGGGCCUUGCGCUAUCAGAUGAGCCUAGGUCGGAUUAGCUAGUUGGUGAGGUAAUGGCUCACCAAGGCUACGAUCCGUAACUGGUCUGAGAGGAUGAUCAGUCACACUGGAACUGAGACACGGUCCAGACUCCUACGGGAGGCAGCAGUGGGGAAUAUUGGACAAUGGGCGAAAGCCUGAUCCAGCCAUGCCGCGUGUGUGAAGAAGGUCUUCGGAUUGUAAAGCACUUUAAGUUGGGAGGAAGGGCAUUAACCUAAUACGUUAGUGCUUUGACGUUACCGACAGAAUAAGCACCGGCUAACUCUGUGCCAGCAGCCGCGGUAAUACAGAGGGUGCAAGCGUUAAUCGGAAUUACUGGGCGUAAAGCGCGCGUAGGUGGUUUGUUAAGUUGAAUGUGAAAUCCCCGGGCUCAACCUGGGAACUGCAUCCAAAACUGGCAAGCUAGAGUAUGGUAGA